Molecule: non-coding RNA, 1026 nt
Organism: Lonchura striata (white-rumped munia)
Lineage: Eukaryota; Metazoa; Chordata; Aves; Passeriformes; Estrildidae
Source: RefSeq, a predicted model, not a curated record
GAGCCCCGGCCCUGCAGCCCCGCCGGGGGAGGAGGGGCUGGUGAGCGCGGGGGGUGCCCGCCCUGUCUGGCUGCCUUCAUAUUUAAUAGGAAAAAAAAAAAAUAAAACAAAAAAAAAAGCUUCGUUUUCCGUCUUCACGCCGCUGCAGCUGCCUGGAUGAGGGGCGAGCUGGGCUCUUUUCGUCGCUAGCCGAGCCUUUUCCUCCCCGCCCCUCCGGCCGGGUUGUAGUCGCAGUCCUCCGGCUGAAGAUGUAUCUGUAAGAACAUCACUCAUUUGUUUGAAAUGUGAUGAAAUGGAAGCCUGUAGGCAUAUAUUGUUUGCAAGUCACAUCAAUUGUUUCUGAUGUCUGCCUUUGUAUUCUUCUAAUAUGUAAGUGAGCAUCUUAAUGCAUGAGGAAUAAUAACACAAAAAAUGUUGCUAAAAUGCUGUGUGCUUUCUCAAGUGUAGUUGAAAUCUUAUUAGCCAGAGGAAUGUGACUUGCCAUGUCAUAAAAACCACCUGGUAGUGAUUCACCGAGUGUCACUAAAAGAAGUCCUGUAUGACACAGCAUUUUUCUUGGGAGGUUCUAAUGAGCUAAGUAUUUCCAGUAUAUCCUCAACUUCAGAUGUACUAUUCCUGCUCUUUUGGCACUCAAGACUAGUUGUCCCAGGAUCUAAUUUCGCAUCUCUUCCUUGUGUUUGAAAACCGCUCUUCAGUUCUGCCUUUUCACGUGUUCCUGUGACUGCUUCUUAACCUCUAACAAGUGUCUGGUGUUUAUUAAAAAUAAAUAUUUAUAGCUCAGUGUUGGCGUGGUCAGAUGCGCAGUUACACUGGGACAAGUACGCAGUGAUAACCAGAGCAGAGUAUUUUGUGUUUAACACUUUGGACUGUAGUACUGGGUGAGCUAGGACAAACUGUUUUUCCUCAUAUCCUUUCUUCCCCCUUGCACAAUCUAGAUAAUGCUAGAUGUAAUUAUACUGACCUCCUAUAUAUAGUAGGUUUUCUAGGAACUAAGCAGAAAUAAAAGGAAAAGGGAGGUUAUGUUAA